Long non-coding RNA from Tupaia belangeri chinensis (Chinese tree shrew), 2187 nucleotides. RefSeq lists it as uncharacterized. The transcript is spliced from 2 exons. The record is from RefSeq and is a predicted model, not a curated record. NCBI's taxonomy places the organism in Eukaryota, Metazoa, Chordata, Mammalia, Scandentia, Tupaiidae.
UCAGCCAUGGGGGAGUCCAAUGACAUAACCACUACACCAUCUGCUGGCACCUUGAAUGCUUUUCUAACAUAACUCUCAAGAGUUGUCCUUUAAAAGUCAAGUGCCAUGUACAAUGUUCUCAUUUGUUUUUCACUAUGGAACCAAAUUCUGUGAUUUGCAGUAGAAAUGAACUUUGGUUUCAGAUUAUUGUACAGCCUAGUUUUGAAUAAGAGUGGAUUCAUAGGUCCAGCCUCUGGCACAGUCAAUAGGGUACCAUACUAUAGAGCUAGACCCUAUGAUCCAAUCAUGGUUCAAAUCCCCAGCCCAUUCAGCUUGAAAACAUUCUGGCACCUUUGUGCGUAUGUGCCCAGGAUCCUGGUGGGCUGGAAGACUGGAGGAAAGCAAUCAUUGUGUGACCAAGCUAGUGAACAGUGCUUCUGUCUUUGUGUACGCACAUGAUCUACCAUGAAUUAAAAAAAAAAAAAUUUUCUAGAGAAAUGAAGUGAGAACAAAGACAUACAAAAUACAAACCCAAAUUUUAUUCAAUUUGACAGAAACAAAUACUCCAUAUUGCUUUAACAGUUUCUAAAUGCUUCCUAUUAAUACCUGUAUUUACUUUUUCCCCAGACAAUUAACAUUUGGCACUGGCCCAAGGACCACACUUUGAAUAACACUGAAAAAUUUUUAUAGCACAAAUUCAAGUCAGCAGAACCUGGGUUCAAAUUCUGACUCAGUUAUUACUAGCAAGGUAGCCAUGAAAAGACCAAUUAACCUUCCUAUGCUCCAGUUUACUCAUCUGUAUCAUGUAAAUAGCUGUCUGUGAUUAUGCUUUUAUGAUAAUGUAUUAAUGUACUAACUUCUCAGCAAGAAUAAAUGUCAGCUGAAACAAUUUCAUAAUUGGUAUAUUUACAUACAGUAUCUUAUAUGUUUUUCCAUGAACAGAAAGAAUGCAUCCAGUUGACCAUCCAGUACUUGAAGGAUCCGGAAAGUGUAUUUGAUGGCCCUACUGGAAGCAUUACCACUUGAAGUCUUUUAACAAAAACCUGUCCUUUCUGGGUAGUGCACCUUCUUCCUCUGCACUGGCGGCUCUAGUGGGAGGAGGGAGAACUAUAGGAAACAGUGAAGGAGUAAUAAGGUACUUAUUUGCUCAGACAUGUCUGCAGCCAGAUUCUUCUCUGCCCCAGCUGUUUGAAGAACCCAGUGUUGAAGCACUGUGCUGUCAGCAAAGUCUCGGUGAUUACAAAGCCCAGGAAAGAUGGGCAGGUAAACUAUAUUGACAAGAUCAAGGAUGACAGUUUGUUCUCUGAUUAAUCAUCAUUGCUACCAAUCAUUUUGACCUUACUAUGCCAAACAUGCAUGACUUCAAUCUUUACCGCAAUCCUGACAGUUGAAUCAUUUUAGAUACUAAAAUUAAGGUUUAGAGAUGUCAAAGAUUCUUAAAUCACAAAAGCCAGUAAUUGACUAGUUCCAGAAAUGUGUAUUUUUUAACUCUGUAUUUACUAUACCUGGAAACACAACCACUUCACUUUAUUUACACUACUGUAAAAAUUUUGUUUAUUCCCAUAGAUUGAAUCUUUUACCCUUUGGUGUCAUGGAGCCAACUUACAAAACAAAAACUGAAUGUACUGGCAUAAAUUUUAUUCAGUGGCUGAGAAGUGGAGUAGCAGGAGCUGAACUCACAAAUUGACUUCUUACCUGUCUUGAGCUGGGCAGUUUAAGAUACAGCAAAUAGGGUAAAACAGAAUAGGGUAAUAGAGGGAAGGAACAGAGCUUUUCUGGAAAACAGGGAUUUCCUGGAAUUCCAAACCCCUCUUCCUUUUUCUCCUUAUUAAGUUGUUUGCAGCGCUAUACUUGGUGAUUGUUAACUGUCAUGGCACUGGUGGGUGUGUCAUUUAGCACAUUCUGGGGUCUUUCAGAAGUCAUUAUGGUAGCCAUCUUGGAUUGCAGUGGUACAGUUGAUUCUUAGAGGAAAUACACUGUCUGAUCUACACAGAUGCAGUCUAUUAAAAAAAAAAUUAGGGAGGGGCUAGGGCAUGGUAUGAGCACAGGCUAAAUGGGGGUGACACUAGGGUGUCCAGUUAAGUCUUCAAAGGUAGGUAAAUGGAUAUAAUCAGACUACUAGGAUCUAGUUCCAAAGUUAUAAAAGCUAUAAAAGCUGUCGUCAGUCUAAACUGCCAAAAAGCACUUAAAAGAAAAAUGAAAUUACCA